Molecule: long non-coding RNA, 199 nt
Filed under: Spirodela polyrhiza (greater duckweed)
Lineage: Eukaryota; Viridiplantae; Streptophyta; Magnoliopsida; Alismatales; Araceae
Description: long non-coding RNA (SPOL_LNC000270)
Source: RNAcentral
CUGCUUCGCCGGUCUCGUCCGCACGCUUCCCGCGGAGUGGCAGCGGACAGCUCCUGCUGCUGCUGCCGCUGCUGCUCGGCUACCUCCCUCGCCCCGCCCUUACCGUCGGCAUACUCUUUCUUAUUCCUUCGCCUUUCUGGGCAAGAAGCUUACUUUUCAUUGCCCUGUUCUUUCCCAGCACCGUCUCCCUCGUCUAGCC